Molecule: ribosomal RNA, 255 nt
Filed under: uncultured bacterium
Lineage: Bacteria
Description: partial small subunit ribosomal RNA
Rfam family: Bacterial small subunit ribosomal RNA
Source: RNAcentral
AGGACGAACGCUGGCGGCGUGCUUAACACAUGCAAGUCGAGCGGUGAUCCUCCUUCGGGAGGUGAUCAGCGGCGAACGGGUGAGUAACACGUGGGCAACCUGCCCUCACACUGGGAUAACCUCGGGAAACCGGGGCUAAUACCGGAUACGACCUCGAGCGGCAUCUCUUGAGGUGGAAAGCUCCGACGGUGAGGGAUGGGCCCGCGGCCUAUCAGCUUGUUGGUGGGGUAAUGGCCUACCAAGGCGACGACGGGU